Molecule: ribosomal RNA, 469 nt
Filed under: uncultured bacterium
Lineage: Bacteria
Description: partial 16S ribosomal RNA
Rfam family: Bacterial small subunit ribosomal RNA
Source: RNAcentral
GACGAACGCUGGCGGCGUGCUUAACACAUGCAAGUCGAACGGAAAGGCCCUGCUUUUGUGGGGUGCUCGAGUGGCGAACGGGUGAGUAACACGUGAGUAACCUGCCCUUGACUUUGGGAUAACUUCAGGAAACUGGGGCUAAUACCGGAUAGGAGCUCCUGCUGCAUGGUGGGGGUUGGAAAGUUUCGGCGGUUGGGGAUGGACUCGCGGCUUAUCAGCUUGUUGGUGGGGUAGUGGCUUACCAAGGCUUUGACGGGGAGCCGGCCUGAGAGGGUGAACGGACAAAUUGGGAAGAGGAUACGGCCCAGAAUCCUGCGGGAGGCAGAAGGGGGGAAUAUUGCAAAAUGGGGGGAAGGCUGAUGCAACGACGCCGGGGGGGGGAUGAAGGCCUUCGGGUUGUAAACCCCUUUUGCCAGGGAAGAAGCGUGAGGUGACGGUAAGGGGAAAAGAAGCACCGGCUAACUACGUG